CCUACGGGUGGCAGCAGUGGGGGAUAUUGCACAAUGGGGGGAACCCUGAUGCAGCGACGCCGCGUGGGUGAAGGAGCGUUUCGGCGCGUAAAGCUCUAUCGGCAGGGAAGAAGAUGACGGUACCUGACCAAGAAGCACCGGCUACCUACGGGCCAGCAGCCGCGGUAAUACGUAGGGGGGAAGAGGUAUCCGGAGUUACUGGGUGUAAAGGGGGCGCAGACGGGAAUGCAAGCCAGGAGUGAAAGACCGGGGCCCAACCCCGGGAAUGCGCUUGGAACUGCAUGGCUGGAGUACAGGAGGGGCAGGCGGAAGUCCUAGUGUAGCGGUGAAAUGCGUAGAUAUUAGGAGGAACACCAGUGGCGAAGGCGGGCUGCUGGACUGUGACUGACGUUGAGGCACGAAGGCGUGGGGAGCAAACAGGAUUAGAUACCCUUGUAGUC
Molecule: ribosomal RNA, 440 nt
Filed under: uncultured bacterium
Lineage: Bacteria
Description: partial 16S ribosomal RNA
Rfam family: Bacterial small subunit ribosomal RNA
Source: RNAcentral